GACGGACGCUGGCGGCGUGCCUAAUACAUGCAAGUAGAACGCUGAAGGAGGAGCUUGCUCUUCUGGAUGAGUUGCGAACGGGUGAGUAACGCGUAGGUAACCUGCCUGGUAGCGGGGGAUAACUAUUGGAAACGAUAGCUAAUACCGCAUAACAGUAGAUGUUGCAUGACAUUUACUUAAAAGGUGCAAUUGCAUCACUACCAGAUGGACCUGCGUUGUAUUAGCUAGUUGGUGGGGUGACGGCUCACCAAGGCGACGAUACAUAGCCGACCUGAGAGGGUGAUCGGCCACACUGGGACUGAGACACGGCCCAGACUCCUACGGGAGGCAGCAGUAGGGAAUCUUCGGCAAUGGACGGAAGUCUGACCGAGCAACGCCGCGUGAGUGAAGAAGGUUUUCGGAUCGUAAAGCUCUGUUGUAAGAGAAGAACGAGUGUGAGAGUGGAAAGUUCACACUGUGACGGUAUCUUACCAGAAAGGGACGGCUAACUACGUG
Molecule: ribosomal RNA, 495 nt
Filed under: uncultured bacterium
Lineage: Bacteria
Description: partial 16S ribosomal RNA
Rfam family: Bacterial small subunit ribosomal RNA
Source: RNAcentral